GAUGAACGCUGGCGGCGUGCCUAAUACAUGCAAGUCGAGCGAACAGACGAGGAGCUUGCUCCUCUGACGUUAGCGGCGGACGGGUGAGUAACACGUGGAUAACCUACCUAUAAGACUGGGAUAACUUCGGGAAACCGGAGCUAAUACCGGAUAAUAUAUUGAACCGCAUGGUUCAAUAGUGAAAGGCGGUUUUGCUGUCACUUAUAGAUGGAUCCGCGCCGCAUUAGCUAGUUGGUAAGGUAACGGCUUACCAAGGCAACGAUGCGUAGCCGACCUGAGAGGGUGAUCGGCCACACUGUAACUGAGACACGGUCCAGACUCCUACGGGAGGCAGCAGUAGGGAAUCUUCCGCAAUGGGCGAAAGCCUGACGGAGCAACGCCGCGUGAGUGAUGAAGGUCUUCGGAUCGUAAAACUCUGUUAUUAGGGAAGAACAAAUGUGUAAGUAACUAUGCACGUCUUGACGGUACCUAAUCAGAAAGCCACGGCUAACUACGUG
RNAcentral lists this ribosomal RNA (497 nucleotides) under uncultured bacterium. RNAcentral describes it as "partial 16S ribosomal RNA". It matches the Rfam family "Bacterial small subunit ribosomal RNA", at positions 28 to 507 of the family's 1533-position model. The record is from RNAcentral.